CCUACGGGAGGCAGCAGUGAGGAAUAUUGGUCAAUGGCCGGAAGGCUGAACCAGCCAUGCCGCGUGAAGGUCAGUGCCCUAUGGGCGUUAAACUUCUUUUGUGCGGGAGCAAUAAUGGUCACGUGUGGCCAGACGAGAGUACCGUACGAAUAAGCCUCGGCUAACUCCGUGCCAGCAGCCGCGGUAAUACGGGGGGUGCAAGCGUUAUCCGGAUUUAUUGGGUUUAAAGGGUGCGUAGGCUGUGAGGUAAGUCAGCGGUGAAAUGCCCCCGCUCAACGGGGUGAAGUGCCAUUGAUACUGCCUGGCUGGAAUGCGGAUGCCGUGGGAGGAAUGUGUGGUGUAGCGGUGAAAUGCAUAGAUAUCACACAGAACACCGAUUGCGAAGGCAUCUCACGAAUCCGCGAUUGACGCUGAUGCACGAAAGCGUGGGUAUCAAACAGGAUUAGAUACCCGGUUAGUC
RNAcentral lists this ribosomal RNA (460 nucleotides) under uncultured bacterium. Its description in RNAcentral is "partial 16S ribosomal RNA". It matches the Rfam family "Bacterial small subunit ribosomal RNA", at positions 338 to 795 of the family's 1533-position model. The record is from RNAcentral.